This 811-nucleotide ribosomal RNA is filed under the name uncultured archaeon. RNAcentral's name for it is "bacterial SSU rRNA". It matches the Rfam family "Archaeal small subunit ribosomal RNA", at positions 85 to 879 of the family's 1478-position model. The record is from RNAcentral.
ACUGCUCAGUAACACGUGGCUAAUCUGCCCUUGGGACCGGAACACCCCCGGGAAACUGGGGCUAAUUCUCGAUAGGUGAAGAACUCUGGAAUGAGUCUUUGCCAAAAAGACGUUUACGUUAUGCUCGUAGGCGUCGCCCAAGGAUGAGGCCGCGACCGAUCAGGUUGUUGGUGAGGUAAUGGCUCACCAAGCCUUUUACCGGUGCGGGCCGUGAGAGCGGGAGCCCGGAGAUGGGCACUGAGACAAGGGCCCAGGCCCUACGGGGCGCAGCAGUCGCGAAAACUUUGCAAUACACGAAAGUGUGACAGGGCUAUCCCGAGUGCCAUCCGCCGAGGAAGGCUUUUACCCAGUCUAGAACGCUGGGGGAAUAAGGAGAGGGCAAGUCUGGUGUCAGCCGCCGCGGUAAUACCAGCUCUCCGAGUGGUGUGGAUGUUUAUUGGGCCUAAAGCAUCCGUAGCUGGCUGAGUUAGUCCCUUGUUAAAUCCACCGAAUUAAUCGUUGGAUUGCGGGGGAUACUGCUCGGCUAGGGGACGAGAGAGGCAGACGGUAUUUCCGGGGUAGGGGUGAAAUCCUAUAAUCCCGGGAAGACCACCAGUGGCGAAGGCUGUCUGCUAGAACGCGCCCGACGGUGAGGGAUGAAAGCUGGGGGAGCGAACCGGAUUAGAUACCCGGGUAGUCCCAGCUGUAAACGAUGCAGGCUAGGUGUUUGGACGGCCACGUGCCGUUCUAGUGCCGCAGGGAAGCUGUUAAGCCUGCCGCCUGGGGAGUACGAUCGCAAGAUUGAAACUUAAAGGAAUUGGCGGGGGAGCAC